GCACUGCUGAGGAGUCGCGAAAUAAGAUGAAACGGCUGUCCAGUGC
Non-coding RNA from Schistosoma rodhaini, 46 nucleotides. NCBI's taxonomy places the organism in Eukaryota, Metazoa, Platyhelminthes, Trematoda, Strigeidida, Schistosomatidae. The record is from Rfam.